Molecule: long non-coding RNA, 752 nt
Filed under: Homo sapiens (human)
Lineage: Eukaryota; Metazoa; Chordata; Mammalia; Primates; Hominidae
Description: non-protein coding LINC01431:3
Source: RNAcentral
AAAGAGUCCUCAGAAGUGUCCUGAGCGGUCGCAGGGUAAUGACGUCGGCCGUAUCGGGGAUGCUGGAACCUGCGGUUGAGUGAGAAACCGGCGCCACCGCCUGCGUCUUGGUCUCGGGCUGGUGGCCAGCGGGGUCUGGGCGUGGUUUUACCCAGCUCCUUUGCGAAGCUGCUGUCCUUUCCUCAACGUUACCACCCGGCUGGGCAGCCUACCCUCGCAGCAACAGGUGUGCACCUUCCAAGCUUGCAACAGACCACAUUCAGAAGCUUGAUUUCUUGUUGUUCUGGGAAUAUCUGGAUCAGAGGUAACAUGGUUCACUAGGACUCCUCAGCUUCACCCAGUGUCCAUUUCACCUCCCCCGGCCUUCCAAUGUCUCUUCUUGCAGAUUUCUCCAAGCCACUCUCCCCGUCAUCUCCUCCACCCCCAGGACCCAACUCCUGCCCCUCCCACCCUAGCCCCUGUUCUCCCUGCCCACCUCCUACCCCACUGGAGUGGCCUUUCAUCAAACCUAAACCAAAGAAACCAACAGACCUUGCUGUCACCACUACUCCGGGACCUGGAAGUUAAAGCGAGGGAGAGACGGUGAAACACAGAAAGCAGAACGCCUUCUGUUCUUCCACAACACAGGGUUUGUGGACGUGGCCACUAUAAGAACUCGCACUGCGUGCUGAUUAUACUCCUCAGCACAAUUCAUUUCUUAAACUUUUUAGAAUAAUUUAAAAUUUACAAAAAGUUGCAAAAAUAAAAACCAG